GACGAACGCUGGCGGCGUGCUUAACACAUGCAAGUGGAGCGACGAACCAGGCUUCGGCCUGGGGCAGAGCCGCGAACGGGUGAGUAACACGUGGGUAACCUGCCCCGAUAACUGGGACAACCCGGGGAAACCCGGGCUAAUACCGGAUGUGCUGCCCUCGCAUAGGCGAGUGCAGGAAAGGAAGCUUCGGCCUCCGUAUCGGGAUGGGCCCGCGGCCCAUUAGCUUGUUGGUGAGGUAACGGCUCACCAAGGCUGCGAUGGGUAGCUGGUCUGAGAGGACGAUCAGCCACACUGGGACUGAGACACGGCCCAGACUCCUACGGGAGGCAGCAGUGGGGAAUCUUGCGCAAUGCGCGAAAGCGUGACGCAGCAACGCCGCGUGGGGGAAGACGGCCUUCGGGUUGUAAACCCCUUUCAGGAGGGACGAAGCCCGGGCGGUUAAUAGCCGACCCGGGUGACGGUACCUCCAGAAGAAGCCCCGGCUAACUACGUGCCAGCAGCCGCCGUAAU
This 510-nucleotide ribosomal RNA is filed under the name uncultured bacterium. RNAcentral's name for it is "bacterial SSU rRNA". It matches the Rfam family "Bacterial small subunit ribosomal RNA", at positions 28 to 524 of the family's 1533-position model. The record is from RNAcentral.